RNAcentral lists this ribosomal RNA (792 nucleotides) under uncultured Bacillota bacterium. RNAcentral describes it as "bacterial SSU rRNA". It matches the Rfam family "Bacterial small subunit ribosomal RNA", at positions 70 to 867 of the family's 1533-position model. The record is from RNAcentral. Lineage: Bacteria; Bacillati; Bacillota.
AAAAGGGGAGCAAUCCCCUGAGUACAGCGGCGCACGGGUGAGUAACACGUGGGUAAUCUGCCCUAGAGUGGGGAAUAACACCGGGAAACCGGUGCUAAUACCGCAUACGUUACGAGAUCUGCGGAUUUCGUAAUAAAAGGAGCAAUUCGCUCUAGGAGGAGCCCGCGGCUGAUUAGCUAGUUGGUGAGGUAAUGGCUCACCAAGGCUACGAUCAGUAUCCGGUCUGAGAGGACGGUCGGACACACUGGAACUGAGACACGGUCCAGACUCCUACGGGAGGCAGCAGUGGGGAAUUUUUGGCAAUGGGGGAAACCCUGACCAAGCAACGCCGCGUGGAUGAUGAAGUCUCUUGGGACGUAAAAUCCUUUCGACAGGGAAGAAACCCGCAAGGGUUGACGGUACCUGUAGAAGAAGCCCCGGCUAACUCCGUGCCAGCAGCCGCGGUAAUACGGGGGGGGCAAGCGUUGUUCGGAAUUACUGGGCGUAAAGGGCGCGUAGGCGGUUUGCUAAGUUGGAUGUGAAAACUCUGGGCUUAACCCAGAGCCUGCAUUCAAAACUGACAGGCUAGAGUUCUGGAGGGGAUAGCGGAAUUCCUGGUGUAGCGGUGAAAUGCGUAGAUAUCAGGAGGAACACCGGUGGCGAAGGCGGCUAUCUGGACAGAAACUGACGCUGAGGCGCGAAAGCUAGGGGAGCAAACAGGAUUAGAUACCCUGGUAGUCCUAGCCCUAAACGAUGGAUACUUGCUGUAGCUGGGAUUGAAUCCAGCUGUGGCGAAGCUAACGCAUUAAGUAU